GAAACAUUCAAAAAAUAAGCUUCUAACUUAAUUUAAAGCAUUUGUGUUUGUGUUUCU
This 57-nucleotide transfer RNA is filed under the name Tenebrionoidea sp. 14 KM-2017. RNAcentral's name for it is "tRNA-Ser". Lineage: Eukaryota; Metazoa; Arthropoda; Insecta; Coleoptera. The record is from RNAcentral.